Molecule: ribosomal RNA, 130 nt
Filed under: Paenalicyclobacillus ferrooxydans
Lineage: Bacteria; Bacillati; Bacillota; Bacilli; Caryophanales; Alicyclobacillaceae
Description: Alicyclobacillus ferrooxydans partial 16S ribosomal RNA
Rfam family: Bacterial small subunit ribosomal RNA
Source: RNAcentral
CAACUUUGAGAGUUUGAUCCUGGCUCAGGACGAACGCUGGCGGCGUGCCUAAUACAUGCAAGUCGCGCGGACUUCUUCGGAAGUCAGCGGCGGACGGGUGAGUAACACGUGGGCAAUCUGCCUCUUAGAC